AGUCCAUGGUGGGGACAUAAACUUAGCGUUUUCAUAAAUUUCUUCCAUGCUUUGCAUAGAAAUUCCCCCUUGUGUUGAGUUAAAUUGGUUGUUUAGUUUCUAAGUUU
Lathyrus oleraceus (garden pea) is the source of this 107-nucleotide small nucleolar RNA. The record is from RefSeq and is a predicted model, not a curated record. Lineage: Eukaryota; Viridiplantae; Streptophyta; Magnoliopsida; Fabales; Fabaceae.